GAUGAACGCUAGCUACAGGCUUAACACAUGCAAGUCGCGGGGCAGCAUGGGGGUUGCUUGCAAUCCCCGAUGGCGACCGGCGCACGGGUGAGUAACGCGUAUCCAACCUGCCCUUCACCACGGGAUAACCCGGCGAAAGUCGGACUAAUACCGUAUGUUGUCCAUUGACGGCAUCCGAUUUGGACGAAAGGUUUGGCGGUGAAGGAUGGGGAUGCGUCCGAUUAGCUGGACGGCGGGGUGACGGCCCACCGUGGCGACGAUCGGUAGGGGUUCUGGGAGGAAGGUCCCCCACACUGGAACUGAGACACGGUCCAGACUCCUACGGGAGGCAGCAGUGAGGAAUAUUGGUCAAUGGGCGUAAGCCUGAACCAGCCAAGUAGCGUGCAGGAUGACGGCCCUAUGGGUUGUAAACUGCUUUUAUGCGGGGAUAAAGUGGCCCACGUGUGGGUUUUUGCAGGUACCGCAUGAAUAAGGACCGGCUAAUUCCGUG
RNAcentral lists this ribosomal RNA (490 nucleotides) under uncultured bacterium. Its description in RNAcentral is "partial 16S ribosomal RNA". It matches the Rfam family "Bacterial small subunit ribosomal RNA", at positions 28 to 507 of the family's 1533-position model. The record is from RNAcentral.